RNAcentral lists this transfer RNA (56 nucleotides) under Cimex lectularius (bed bug). RNAcentral's name for it is "tRNA-Leu". The record is from RNAcentral. Lineage: Eukaryota; Metazoa; Arthropoda; Insecta; Hemiptera; Cimicidae.
AACUUUAAGCAAGUGGUUUUAAAACCCACAGAUAGGACAUAAAACCUUUAAAGUUU